Molecule: non-coding RNA, 252 nt
Organism: Oryzias latipes (Japanese medaka)
Lineage: Eukaryota; Metazoa; Chordata; Actinopteri; Beloniformes; Adrianichthyidae
Source: RefSeq, a predicted model, not a curated record
AACCCUGUCCCCAGGCCCCUAGUCUGGCACUCCGCCAUACUUCGGGCGAGGCGCGACCAAAGAAUCGCGUGGGAAAAUCAGGUUCUUCUGAGGAGGCUGCUCCCAUUGGCGCGGAACGAGGAGGAGAGGCGCCGCCUCCUGAGAAUUUACGGUUCCAACUAAAAUUGUAAGUUUGACUCCUGCUUGUUGUGUGUGAACAGAUGAGUCGGUGAUGUUAUUUUUCAAUCAAAUGUGCAUUAAAAAAAAGAAAUC